UACGUAGGUGGCAAGCGUUGUCCGGAUUUACUGGGCGUAAAGAGCGCGCAGGCGGUCGUCCAAGUCGCGUGUGAAAGCCCCCGGCUCAACUGGGAGGGUCACGCGAUACUGAUCGACUCGAAGGCAGGAGAGGGUAGUGGAAUUCCCGGUGUAGCAGUGAAAUGCGUAGAUAGUCUGGAGGAACACCGGUGGCGAAGGCGGCAUCCUGGACCAACACUGACACUGAGGAGCGAAAGCCAGGGGAGCAAACGGG
This 253-nucleotide ribosomal RNA is filed under the name uncultured bacterium. RNAcentral describes it as "partial 16S ribosomal RNA". It matches the Rfam family "Bacterial small subunit ribosomal RNA", at positions 524 to 776 of the family's 1533-position model. The record is from RNAcentral.